This 80-nucleotide transfer RNA is filed under the name Plenodomus lingam JN3. RNAcentral's name for it is "tRNA-Gln (CTG) (tRNA-Gln-CTG-2-1)". It matches the Rfam family "tRNA". Rfam says of the family: Transfer RNA (tRNA) molecules are approximately 80 nucleotides in length. The record is from RNAcentral. Lineage: Eukaryota; Fungi; Ascomycota; Dothideomycetes; Pleosporales; Leptosphaeriaceae.
GGCACUUUGGCGGAGUGGUUAACGCGGUAUGUUGUAUCGAUUCUGAUUCGGGAGCGUGUGUUCGAAUCACACAGGUGUCG